Molecule: long non-coding RNA, 298 nt
Filed under: Mytilus galloprovincialis (Mediterranean mussel)
Lineage: Eukaryota; Metazoa; Mollusca; Bivalvia; Mytilida; Mytilidae
Source: RNAcentral
GACGGAUAUUCGCUUUAUUUCUACUGGUAAUAAGUUUACUUUUAACAUUAAAUUUUAAUUUUUAAUUACUUAAUAAAAAAUAUCACAAAAAUCUGAUUAACAUUUCAAUAAUUGUAUAUCCGGUCAGUUUAUGACACCUCGGGUGUUUCCGUUUUUACUCGGGUAUGUUAUUAGGACAAAAUCUCCCUCUGUGACAGAGUCGAUCUCAACUAAUUAACACCAAUUUACAGAAAAGUCGGUAACAUUUUAUGUGUAAUUAUCGUCUUUCGUCCUCUCUCCUUCUAAUAUAACCUCCUUG